CAGCGAUGCACAAGCAGCCAGCACUGGUGCUUCCUGGAUCUGUUCAGAUGAGGAUCAAGAGUUCUCAGAACAAUACUGUAGAGAGACUCAGCCAGACAAAGUCUAUGGUCUUACCAGAUCCUGACACACUACAGAAACCCACUGUUUUAAAAGGAGAAUAUUUAAACAAAGCCAAAAUUGCUGAAGGAGGAAAGAAAUUACGAAAAACUGGACUUCAACCUGGUUGUUCUCUGCUCCAAUCAACUAUUAUUCUAUAAAGAGAGCAAACAAGAAGCUGUUGCAAAUUUGAAACCAGGUGGUAAAGCAGAUGGUGUGGAUCUGUGUGGGGCUCUUAUCGAGUGGACAACAGAGAAAUCCAGUCGAAAGAACGUGAUUCAGAUAACCACCCUAACUGGUCAGGAGUUUUUGCUGCAGGCAGAUCACUUUCCAACCAUCUGUAAAUGGCAUGAUGCCCUCAAGAAAGCAGUGGAC
Non-coding RNA from Pimephales promelas (fathead minnow), 471 nucleotides. The record is from RefSeq and is a predicted model, not a curated record. Lineage: Eukaryota; Metazoa; Chordata; Actinopteri; Cypriniformes; Leuciscidae.